RNAcentral lists this ribosomal RNA (710 nucleotides) under Roseovarius sp. RNAcentral describes it as "bacterial SSU rRNA". It matches the Rfam family "Bacterial small subunit ribosomal RNA", at positions 36 to 796 of the family's 1533-position model. The record is from RNAcentral. Lineage: Bacteria; Pseudomonadati; Pseudomonadota; Alphaproteobacteria; Rhodobacterales; Roseobacteraceae.
CCCAGGGGGCAGCUACCAUGCAGUCGAGCGAGAACUUCGGUUCUAGCGGCGGACGGGUUAGUAACGCGUGGGAACGUGCCCUUCACUACGGAAUAGUCCCGGGAAACUGGGUUUAAUACCGUAUACGCCCUUCGGGGGAAAGAAUUUCGGUGAAGGAUCGGCCCGCGUUAGAUUAGAUAGUUGGUGGGGUAACGGCCUACCAAGUCUACGAUCUAUAGCUGGUUUUAGAGGAUGAUCAGCAACACUGGGACUGAGACACGGCCCAGACUCCUACGGGAGGCAGCAGUGGGGAAUCUUAGACAAUGGGCGCAAGCCUGAUCUAGCCAUGCCGCGUGAGUGAUGAAGGCCUUAGGGUCGUAAAGCUCUUUCGCCAGGGAUGAUAAUGACAGUACCUGGUAAAGAAACCCCGGCUAACUCCGUGCCAGCAGCCGCGGUAAUACGGAGGGGGUUAGCGUUGUUCGGAAUUACUGGGCGUAAAGCGCGCGUAGGCGGAUUGGAAAGUUGGGGGUGAAAUCCCAGGGCUCAACCCUGGAACUGCCUCCAAAACUAUCAGUCUAGAGUUCGAGAGAGGUGAGUGGAACUCCGAGUGUAGAGGUGAAAUUCGUAGAUAUUCGGAAGAACACCAGUGGCGAAGGCGGCUCACUGGCUCGAUACUGACGCUGAGGUGCGAAAGUGUGGGGAGCAAACAGGAUUAGAUACCCUGGUAGUCC